This 112-nucleotide non-coding RNA is filed under the name Rhodoferax fermentans. RNAcentral's name for it is "SAH sequence". It matches the Rfam family "SAH (S-adenosyl-L-homocysteine) riboswitch aptamer". Lineage: Bacteria; Pseudomonadati; Pseudomonadota; Betaproteobacteria; Burkholderiales; Comamonadaceae. The record is from Rfam by way of RNAcentral.
ACUUCCGAGGAGCGUUGCAACUCACAUGAUGGCUGUUUUGUCACCAUGCUGAGUGAGGCUCGGACCCCGCUGUUGUUUUUUGCACAGCGUUUCACAACGGCGCUCACCCACC